GUCGUCACCGAACGUCCCAGGUGGGAACUGAAGUCCUUCCACCACUGGCUGGAUGUAUCACCCAGCGGAGCCCUACCCAGGCCGAGCCAGCUGGUACCCCCAGCCCAACGGAGGUCCCGAUAGAGGCCAGUGGGGUCCGAUGAGCGACCGCACAUGGAGCCCCAGCAACAGGUUUCAUGGAGGCCAUAGCCAACCUCAACGCCCACACACACACCACCUCUACACAAGGGGGGAACGGAAAUCAUCCCAGCACUCCCAAGACAAGGUUCCCCCCCGGGGACACAGAUCACCGUUACACUCCUGGGAGCACAAGAACCAGCCCUACGAAGGCCACACCUCCUCCCAGCGUAGCUCCUCCCACGCAUUCCAGAACUGGACUCGAACCCACGGCGGGAACGGGCCUCCCUCAGGUCCUCCGGGGGAACUCUACGCCCCCUGGAGGGAGGAUGACAGCCACCCCAGGUACGGGCCCCUCCCUCCCCACCUGGACCCCGGCAGAGAUGCCCUACUGCAGCGCUGGGCCCAGGGGGACGGCUACCGCGACGCCGCGGGCCGGGCGGUGAGCCAGCGGGUGACGGGGGUCUGGAGACGGCCUGACGUCUACCAGCAGCACAGAGACCAGCUCCACGCCACACCAGCCCCCCGCGACGCCUGCCCCGCCAAGAGGAGGCGCAGCGACGGCCCUGACCAGACGCCGUUCUCUGGCUCCAAGCAUUCGUCGUUACCGCCUCAGGCCCUGUCUCCUCCGACCCGUUACCAUGACAAAUGGUACGGCCCCCGCCAUCGCCCGGACCCCCGAAGCCCCUCCCCUGCUCUGCAACAGGACACCUCUCAACCGCGACACGGAGCUCCGAGCGUCCACGACAGCAAACCAUCAGGCCACGCCCACCGGACCCCCCCCCCCGCGCCGCGCCACGCCCACCACCGGCCCUCCGCCCCGCCCGGAGGCGGCGGCGUCGCCAGGGCGACGCACCACGGCGGCCGGGAGAAGGGGGACCACCACAAACCCUGGUCGUCCUCGCCAGCAGAACACACGCGCGUGCCUUACGGUCAUCACCAACACGCCCCGCCCCCCCGGCACAGCCAGCCCCGCACCCCCCCCCACAGCCCCCCGCCGCGGGGCUGCUGGCCGGAGCCCCGCGGACACAGCCACCGGCCCAGCACAGAAGACGACAUCCAGUCCCCUGGGAGGGGCAAGUCCAGGAACCCUGGCCCCGUGCAGGGCUCUGCCGCGGACCCCCCCACGCCCCCCUCCCCCUCGGGGUCUCCCCCCCCUCGCCCCAGGCCCAGCGGGAGGCGAGAGCCCCUGGCCCCUGCCUCCGCACCCCCCCCGGGCAGGAAGCCGGCCGCGACGGCCCCGAGACACCCCCCGUCAGACAUCCUGCCCCCCGGUCCCCCCGCCCCCGCCCCUGGAGCCAAGGCCUGCCCCUCAGAGAGGUCAGAGGUCGAGGUCAGGAGGACCCCCUCCCAGAAGGCCGUCCGUAAGAAGCCCAGACCCUCGCAGGCCCCGGAGACCAAGACCAAACGCAGCGGACACGAGCGGAAACAAGAGAAGCUGAGCCGGCUGAAGGAGAGGCUGAAGAAGAAGGAGAGGAGGGUGGAGGAGGAGGAGAGGAGGGUGGAGGAGGAGGAGAGGAGGGUGGAGGAGGAGGAGAGGAGGGUGGAGGAGGAGAGGAGGGUAGAGGAGGGGGUGAUGGAGAAGGAGAGGGUGAUGGAGAAGGGGAUGAGGGUGGAGGGAGAGAGGAGUAGAGAGGAGGGGAAGGUGAAGAAGCUGCGAGGGUCCAAAAGCCUCUCCUCCAGGAGGGAGGACUCCAAACUCCGACACCAGAGGAAGAAGAAGCGAGAGAAAAGCAAGCGGUUGAAGGAGGAGUCGGGGGCGACGGAGACCGCGGAGAACGGAGUGAAGACGGCGCCGCCGCCGCCGCCGCCGCCGCCACAGCCCAGAGCGCCGGGUCACCCAGAGAUCCACCGGAGGAUCCUCUCCCAGAAGGACCGGCCCCCGCAGACACUGGCCGGCCCCUCCAAGUUAAAACACCGAGAGCGCCCUGGGAGAGCAGCGAAGGCCCCCGGGCGCAGAGCAACGGCUGCCGGCCCGGCGGACCCUCCCCCCCCCCCCUCACCUCCCCUCCUACAAACCCUCAGAGGAGGGCCGCCCCUCAACCAGACCCCCCCCCCAGCCGUCCCCCCCGCGCCCAGCCCCUAA
This is a long non-coding RNA of Gadus morhua (Atlantic cod), 2203 nucleotides long. The record is from Ensembl. NCBI's taxonomy places the organism in Eukaryota, Metazoa, Chordata, Actinopteri, Gadiformes, Gadidae.